AUUGAACGCUGGCGGCAGGCCUAACACAUGCACGUCGAACGAGUGGCGGACGGGUGAGCAAUGUCUGGGAAACUGCCUGAUGGAGGGGGAUAACUACUGGAAACGGUAGCUAAUACCGCAUACAAUCAGAUGUGCCCAGAUGGGAUUAGCUUGGUGGUGGGGUAACGGCUGACCAAGGCGAAUAUCCCUAGCUGGUCUGAGAGGAUGACCAGCCACACGGGAACGGAGACACGGUCCAGACUCCUACGGGAGGCAGCAGUGGGGAAUAUUGCACAAGGGGCGCAAGCCUGAUGCAGCCAUGCCGCGUGUAUGAAGAAGGCCUUCGGGUUGUAAAGUACUUUCAGCGGGGAGGCGUUACCCGCAGAAGAAGCACCGGCUAACUCCGUGCCAGCCGCCGCGGUAAUUC
RNAcentral lists this ribosomal RNA (406 nucleotides) under uncultured bacterium. RNAcentral describes it as "partial 16S ribosomal RNA". It matches the Rfam family "Bacterial small subunit ribosomal RNA", at positions 30 to 526 of the family's 1533-position model. The record is from RNAcentral.